RNAcentral lists this transfer RNA (97 nucleotides) under compost metagenome. RNAcentral describes it as "tRNA-Arg". The record is from RNAcentral.
GGGCGCCGUGGCUGGGGCCGUGCUGGCGCUGGCUGCGGGCUGGUGGGGCCUGCGUGAGGUGUUGCUGCGCCCGGUGGUCGAUACGCUGCGGCGCUCG